Molecule: ribosomal RNA, 250 nt
Filed under: uncultured bacterium
Lineage: Bacteria
Description: partial 16S ribosomal RNA
Rfam family: Archaeal small subunit ribosomal RNA
Source: RNAcentral
UACCGGCGGCUCGAGUGGUGGCCACUAUUACUGGGCUUAAAGCGUUCGUAGCUGGGUUGUUAAGUCUCUUGGGAAAUCCAACGGCUCAACCGUUGGGCGUCUAAGGGAUACUGGCAACCUAGGGACCGGGAGAGGUGAGGGGUACUCCGGGGGUAGGAGUGAAAUCCUGUAAUCCUCGGGGGACCACCGGUGGCGAAGGCGCCUCACCAUAACGGCUCCGACAGUGAGGGACGAAAGCUGGGGGAGCAAA